Molecule: unclassified non-coding RNA, 145 nt
Filed under: soil metagenome
Description: partial internal transcribed spacer 1
Source: RNAcentral
UAAUAAGUGUUUUAUGGCACUUUUUAAAUCCAUAUCCACCUUGUGUGCAAUGUCAGUCGAUCUUCUUCAUGGAGAUCGACCAAACAUCAACCUUUAUCUUUUACCUCUUUGUCUGAAAAAUAUUAUGAAUAAACAAUUCAAAAUA